AUGAGGAAGGAUGUAGUAAUCGACGAAAUGCUUCGGGGAGUUGAAAAUAAGCAUAGAUGCGGAGAUUCCCGAAUAGGGCAACCUUUUGAACUGCUGCUGAAUCCAUGGGCAGGCAAGAGACAACCUGGCGAACUAAAACAUCUUAGUAGCCAGAGGAAAAGAAAGCAAAAGC
Capsicum annuum is the source of this 172-nucleotide non-coding RNA. The record is from Rfam. NCBI's taxonomy places the organism in Eukaryota, Viridiplantae, Streptophyta, Magnoliopsida, Solanales, Solanaceae.